UACAUGGGGUGCAAACGUUGCUCGGAAUUAUUGGGCGUAAAGCGCACGUAGGCGGUUACUUAAGUCGGAUGUGAAAGCCCUCGGCUCAACCGGGGAAGUGCAUCCGAAACUGAGUAGCUAGAGUACGAAAGAGGGUCGCGGAAUUCCCGGUGUAGAGGUGAAAUUCGUAGAUAUCGGGAGGAACACCGGUGGCGAAGGCGGCGACCUGGGUCGAGACUGACGCUGAGGUGCGAAAGCGUGGGGAGCAAACAGG
Molecule: ribosomal RNA, 253 nt
Filed under: uncultured bacterium
Lineage: Bacteria
Description: partial 16S ribosomal RNA
Rfam family: Bacterial small subunit ribosomal RNA
Source: RNAcentral